AGAGUUUGAUCCUGGCUCAGAACGAACGCUGGCGGCGUGGAUAAGACAUGCAAGUCGAACGGGGUUCCCAUUGUGUAGCAAUACAUGAUGUAACCUAGUGGCGAACGGGAGCGUAACACGUGGGAAUUUACCAAAAAGUGGGGGAUAGCUCGUCGAAAGGCGAAUUAACACCGCAUGUGAUCGAAAGAUUAAAGUGGGGGAUCGCAAGACCUCACGCUUUUUGAGAAGCCCGCGGCCUAUCAGCUAGUUGGUGAGGUAACGGCUCACCAAGGCGAUGACGGGUAGCUGGUCUGAGAGGACGACCAGCCUCACUGGAACUGAGACACGGUCCAGACUCCUACGGGAGGCAGCAGUGGGGAAUUUUGCGCAAUGGGGGAAACCCUGACGCAGCAACGCCGCGUGAGUGAUGAAGGCUUUCGGGUCGUAAAACUCUGUCAGCAGGAAAGAAGUUAUAUAUGGGUUAAUACCCAUAUAUAUUGACGGUACCUGCAAAGGAAGCAACCGGCUAACUCCGUGCCAGCAGCCGCGGUAAUA
RNAcentral lists this ribosomal RNA (534 nucleotides) under bacterium enrichment culture clone Cont176_3130. Its description in RNAcentral is "bacterial SSU rRNA". It matches the Rfam family "Bacterial small subunit ribosomal RNA", at positions 8 to 525 of the family's 1533-position model. The record is from RNAcentral.